UAUCUUUAAGUGUUAAGCACGUAAACUUUUGAUGUUUAAAGAAGAAGAAUCUCUAAGGAUAA
Molecule: transfer RNA, 62 nt
Filed under: Bragasellus molinai
Lineage: Eukaryota; Metazoa; Arthropoda; Malacostraca; Isopoda; Asellidae
Description: transfert RNA-Q(CAA)
Source: RNAcentral